AUAUCAAUAAGCGGAGGAAAAGAAACUAACAAGGAUUCCCCUAGUAACUGCGAGUGAAGCGGGAAGAGCUCAAAUUUAAAAUCUGGUAGUCUUUGGCUGCCCGAGUUGUAAUCUAGAGAAGCGUUAUCCGUGCUGGACCGUGUAUAAGUCUCCUGGGAUGGAGCGUCAUAGAGGGUGAGAAUCCCGUCUUUGACAUGGACUACCAGUGCUUUGUGAUGCGCUCUCGAAGAGUCGAGUUGUUUGGGAAUGCAGCUCUAAAUGGGUGGUAAAUUCCAUCUAAAGCUAAAUAUUGGCGAGAGACCGAUAGCGAACAAGUACCGUGAGGGAAAGAUGAAAAGAACUUUGGAAAGAGAGUUAAACAGUACGUGAAAUUGUUGAAAGGGAAACGCUUGAAGUCAGUCGCGUUGGCUAGGAAUCAGCCUUGCUUUUGCUUGGUGUACUUCUUAGUUAACGGGUCAGCAUCAAUUUUGACCGGUGGAAAAAGGCCAGUUGAAUGUGGCACCUUCGGGUGUGUUAUAGCUUCUGGUCGUAUACAUCGGUUGGGAUUGAGGAACUCAUCGCCGUAAGGUUGGAGGAUGCUGGCAUAAUGGCUUUAAUCGACCCGUCUUGAAACACGGACCAAGGAGUCUAACAUGCCUGCGAGUGUUUGGGUGGAAAACCCGAGCGCGUAAUGAAAGUGAAAGUUGAGAUCCCUGUCGUGGGGAGCAUCGACGCCCGGACCAGACCUUCUGUGACGGAUCCGCGGUAGAGCAUGUAUGUUGGGACCCGAAAGAUGGUGAACUAUGCCUGAAUAGGGUGAAGCCAGAGGAAACUCUGGUGGAGGCUCGUAGCGAUUCUGACGUGCAAAUCGAUCGUCAAAUUUGGGUAUAGGGGCGAAAGACUAAUCGAACCAUCUAGUAGCUGGU
RNAcentral lists this ribosomal RNA (905 nucleotides) under Clitopilus subscyphoides. RNAcentral's name for it is "partial large subunit ribosomal RNA". It matches the Rfam family "Eukaryotic large subunit ribosomal RNA", at positions 40 to 955 of the family's 3401-position model. The record is from RNAcentral. Lineage: Eukaryota; Fungi; Basidiomycota; Agaricomycetes; Agaricales; Entolomataceae.